RNAcentral lists this transfer RNA (72 nucleotides) under Tuber melanosporum (Perigord truffle). RNAcentral describes it as "tRNA-Val (TAC) (tRNA-Val-TAC-1-1)". It matches the Rfam family "tRNA". From Rfam's summary of the family: Transfer RNA (tRNA) molecules are approximately 80 nucleotides in length. The record is from RNAcentral. Lineage: Eukaryota; Fungi; Ascomycota; Pezizomycetes; Pezizales; Tuberaceae.
GACUGUGUGGCGUAGUGGAAGCGCGUCUGCUUUACACGCAGAAGGCCGCAGGUUCGAACCCUGCCACAGUCA